This 3174-nucleotide long non-coding RNA is filed under the name Homo sapiens (human). RNAcentral's name for it is "PREDICTED lncRNA (TCONS_00194174)". The record is from RNAcentral. Lineage: Eukaryota; Metazoa; Chordata; Mammalia; Primates; Hominidae.
AUAGAGACGGAGUUUCACCAUGUUAGCCAGGAUGGUCUCGAUCUCCUGACCUCGUGAUCCACCUGCCUCGGCCUCCCAAAGUACUGGGAUUACAGCCACCCCAACCUCUGGCACCACCACUCUGAUCAGACAGCAGCCAUCAACAUCUAGUCGAGACCCUCCACUAGCAAAGAGAUUAUGACUCACUGAAGGCUCAGAUGAUCAUGAAUAAUUUUCAGAAAUAAAGUACUUUUAAAUUCAGAUGGAGUCUUGCUCUGUUGCCCAGGCUGGAGCACAAUCUCAGUUCACUGAAACCUCCGCCUCCUGGAUUCAAGCAAUUCUCCUGCCUCAGCCUCCUGAGUAGCUGGGAUUGCAGCUACAAUGCCACCAGGUGAUCGGAAUUUUUCAGCUCCAUUAAAAUCUUAUGAGACCAUCACUGAAUAUGUGGUCCGUCAUUGACCAAAACAUCAUGAUGCAGCUCAUGACUAUAGUUCUGUCUCAGAAGAUCCAGGAAAUAGUAGGUUCCUCCGAGGCCGGAAGCCCAUUCAGUAUCUUAGCCAAUGGCAUGUCUUAUAGAUACAAAUAGUGCAGCCUUUUGCCGAAGAAAUGAUAUCUUGUUUCCUUUGCCAGGAGCUGUGUGCUUGCAACAGUAAUAUAAAUGUGCAGCCCACAUUAGGUACUCAAACAACUUGUCAUUUGUUUGAAAAGGAGCCCUUUAUUUGACUAGAAGAAACAGGAGCCAAAUGAGCUUGAUUCCUUCUCAUGCCAGCCAGCAAUGCAAUUACAGGAAUGGGGACUGGGGAAGGACAAAUUGAUCAGUCACCCAUGCACAUAGGUGCAGGGGCUAUGUACUUGAAGUGGUUGGUUGUGGUUGGGACCCUGCCUUGGUCUGUUAAUUACAUAUUGCAAAAUGGGAUCUCAUAAGUGACUGUAAUUCAUUGGUAAUUUCUUGAGAAAUUACAAUUUUUGACAGGAAAGUUUUUUUUCUUUGUGUCCCCUGAUAAAUUCUCCUGGUUUGUAAAAUCUUUAGAAUUCAUAAUCCUUAGGUAAUGCACUUUGUAGAAACAGCAGGAAUGUGAGGAUUUGCAAACCUCCUUUUCUUCACUGAUGAGUAUAAAAAUGCUGCAGUUUACUUCAACUGUUGAAAGUGGAACUUUCUCCAUAUUUAAGCAGUGGUGUUCUCUUUUCAUGCUGAAAAGCAAUGAAUUGUCAAAAAUGGACAUCUUGCCAUGAAUAAAGAUGACAACUGAGUAGGUGACUCAGAAAUGUGCCUGACAAGAGAGAAAUGGUUUGAAUAUAGAGUGUAUAUAUACUCUUCUACUAAAAACUUGGGAGACCAAACAAGUCUGAUUGCAAUGGGUAACCAACAAACAGGUACAGGGGCAGUAGAUCUCAGUAUGUUCUCAUGAUUCCCAAAUUGCCAACCAAACCUCUUCUGUGUGCUCUUGUUUGUGAGACUAAGAUUCAGCUCUCUUCAGACUAAGAUCACAGCUUGGGUGUGAUUUGAUCCUGCUUCAAGCUGGCAAAGCCUCAGAAGCCCUCUACCAUCAGAAUCCUGCUCAGAGGAAAUAGCUGGAGACCAUUCUUGAAGAACUGUCAUCUUUAGUACUGGAAUUAAGUGUCCUGUUUGGGUCUCACUGACAUGCUAUUCCAGAGACACUCACUGGCUUCUGAAAGCUCAUUCUGGGAUCUGGGAAUGAAACAGAAUUCAGGGAGGAAGCCUUAGAAGAGCCUUAUGUUCAGAGAGACCCUGUGUCCUCUUAAGGGAGCAUCAUUGGUAAACUUCCUACUUCUCAAUUUCCUUAUCUGUAAAAGUUGUUGAAUGAGUUAAAUAGUAUGAUAUGGAAUUCAUAAAGAACUCAAGAUUACCUGCUAUUACUGUGUAAUAUAUUGUUUAUAUUUACAGCACAUACAAAGUACCAGUUUUUCCAUUGUUAAUGUGGAUGUGAAUGUUGCCCUAAAAUAAUCUUGUCUUUUGAUUUGUUAUUCUUCAUCUAUCCUUGCUUCUAUCAUUAUUAAAAAUUUAUCUAUGAAUAAAUUUAGAGAGGAAAUGGAAGUCAUUAUAAAGUUGCAUGUUCAAGCACGGCAAUGAUUCGUAAUUGUCCCAACAGUUAAGUGUACAUCAGUACAGCCCUAACCACACUCACUAAGGCUUUUACACUGAUUACAGAGAUUGUGGGUGCUGAGUUUUCCCCAUGUGUUGCCAUAAAUCUGCUUUUCCUUUCACUUAAGAAGGUACUUAGAAACACAAGAGUGUAAGAAUGAUGUUAUCAAAGACUAACAUUAUAAUCCUUCUAUUCUAUGGAAAAAACAAUUAUUUGUGAAUUUCUGCCAUACUUCACAGCUGGCGAUGGGUCAUGAGAGCUCACUGCCAGACGCCAAGAGCCUGGCUAAGACAAAUGAGAGAAGAAAACUUCUAAGCACGGUGAUGGCAGAAGUGUGUGCCAAUUUGAGUAAUGCUUUUUCUCACAUACUUUCUAUUUUUCCUCUGUCUGGGAACUAGUGCAAGAAAUCUAAAAGAGGAAAACCAGCCUGUUUUCUCUCACUUAUUUGAAUUUACUAGUGUUUGCAAUAGUGUUAAUUUCUGGCUUUAACUGAAGAAUGUUUUUUUGCAGUUUAUUCUCUCAUUUUUCAUUCAUUUAUCCUUUUAUCAACCAGUAUUUCCCUUCCUUUUUUGAGAGGGUUCCUGCAUUAAAUGCUGCAGCUUACUAGGACAAUUCCUGUUCCCCCCAGGAGUUUACAUUCUUCAUGUAAUUCAUAAAAACUUGUCCAUCCACCUUAAUUUAAACAAAUAGUUCUCAGUGGUGCUAGUGGUGGGAGUAAAGGGCUGCUCCCAGAAGACAUUCUUUGGCAAUGUCUGAAGACAUUUGUAAUGACUGAGGGAGGGAGUGCUCCUGGCAUGCCAAGUAGUGAAGAAAUGCUGCUAGAUAAUUCUAGAAUGCUCAGGAGAGCUCUGGGGUAACGUAAAGUAUUAUCCGGUCCCAAAUGAGAAACCCUGUUCUAAACUUUUGCUUGGAACAAGUUUUAUCCUUUACUUAGCACAAUUCUUUAUGUAUAAUAAAGGGAUUUGCCACUUGUUCAUCAACUAAAAGAGGUUCCUAACAUAUUUUAUAGCAUUUCAUAAAUAUUUGUCAAAAGGAUUAAUAUUAAACUGGAUUAAAUUUAAUAAUGCAAUAUAAAGAAUAAUGAUGUGGG